GACACUUUCCAAACAACAAGGGUGCACGCACUAGAAAAAUCAUACGCCAAUCCUUUCUUGUUCAUUUAUAUCUGAGGUUUUAAAAACACUAAGACCAUUGAUGCUGAGCCAGACCCGAAACAUACUACAGGCUCAAGAUCCUGCCUUUCAACACUUCAUAGUCAUUGCAGAAAAUCUUGAAAAAUAAUUUACUGCAUGCUUACAUUACUUGGAGUGCUGCAAAAGCCAGGACCCACAGAAUCGGGGCAGAGGGGGGAAGCACCCUAUUUUUAAUAAGGGAUCUUAACAUUUUUGACAUGCAUGAGAUUUGUGUCAAGCUUUUGUCUUGUUUAGUAAGGGGGUUUGUUUGAUAUUUACUCAACUGGCUUUUCCUUUUCAUGACUUCUAAAUAGCAUACUUUAAAAAAAGUGUAAUUGCAAAGGCUGGUCUACAUGCGUAGGAUUACUUCAUGAACAGGAAGAAAAAUCCACUGGAUGGCCUCACAUACUUAGAAAUAGCUGGGCCAAACACUACUUCACUGUUUUGAAAUAUCUCACUGCAGAGGAUAAUUUGAACUUUAAAGUCACAUGAUGAAACCAUAGGUUUGCUAAACAUGCAACGUGUAUGGCUUGAAUCACUUAAACUGAGUUCCUGUUUCCUUUGCUGAACUGAAUGUUUUUCUAGUCAGAGAGCGUCUGGAUUUUUCAUCCCGGUGUACAGCAGCUAAAGAAGUGAUUGUAAUAUAAACUCUGCUUUCUGCAUAAAUAAAAAAGGGCUGUUUCCUCCAAACAGUAAUUAUAUUUCAUCUGACUAUUCACAGUGAAAGCCUCAGCCAGUCAUACCUGUGGAGCAUUUUCUUGAAGAGGUUUCAGUUUCAAACUUCAUAAAACAGGAAAUAAACACUGCACAGAAGAAAGGAUGAUUUCUCACAACAUGACAUGGAUCAGCUACCCAAGCAAGAACUGGGUUUUCAGCUCCCCAGAAGAAAUUGAAGCAUUCAUAGCAUCUCAAAACAUCAUAUCAAGACUUAUGCACUGUUACAUUGCCUUUUUUGUACCAACAGGAUUAAUAGCUGGCAUAUGUAUUUUGAUCAUUUUUAUAAAAAAUUAUUUGCAGUUGAAAGCCAUAGAAAACUUACUUCUACAUUUCACCAUCAGCAAUAUUAUAAUGAUUUUUUUUUCGUUCACUGUCAUUCCUAGACCUGACUAUUUAAAAGCAACCUACUUCACAUGUAAAAUUCUGUCAUUUUUUUUCAACUUAAGUUAUUUCAAUUCUCAGCAUCUUUUGAUUUUGAUGCUUCUCAUAAUUUUACUCGAGAAAUUUCCACCAAGGAGUGCUCUGAGCAAAGCAACCCAAAGUCCCAUAUUGUGUGUUGGAUUUGUACUUAUAUAUGCCUUCUGUUUGUCACUAACUGAAACAGUACUGCUUGGCACAGAUAACUCUCACUUGGAAACCUAUUGCCAGUUAGAUCCUUUAUUUGCGUGGCCUGAGUAUGAGAUCAUUAAACUCACCUUUGGAUUUGGAAUCCCAUCAUUUCUUCAGAUAGUCUGUUUUACUGUGCUUUUUGCUAAAGAAGCAUCUGCUGAAGCUCCAGCCUUACAACUGCGUAUUCGUACUUACCUGGCUGUGGUACCUAUAAGCAUAACCAUAUUUAUAUGCCGCCUAUUUUACAGUGUUAUGAUUCUCUUCAGGACAACAUUCAAAUUACAGAAAAGCAUUGGAACUCCAAAGAACGAGCUCACGAUGAAUAUUGCAGAAAUAGUGUUGUUCUGUGAGAGCUGUGCUAGUUUGGUAUUUGUACUUUGUUUUCAUAAACCAUGCAAAGAUGAAAUACUGAAAGUCAUACAGAAAUGCAAAAAGGAAAAUACCACCAACAAUCAUCUCGAAAUACCAGUAACUUCUAUGAACCAUGAAAGUGGGUCUCAGUAAUACUUGUUUUUAAAGAACUGUCAUUUUUUCACCUGCUCUUUUUCAUAAAGGAUAAUGGCUCCUUGUUUAGAUCCCAAACUUGGACUACCUUACAGUAGUGGAAGAAAAAAUAUAUUUGGGUCUAGUAUUUGCGGUGAUCUAUGAGAAAACAUCUAGGCUUUUCGGUCUUUUUUUCCCCCUCAGUAUCUUUUAAAAAACUCCCUACAUUCUACAAGUGUUACUUCUAAGCAGAGCAGAAAUAAGAGCAUGUUACCAUAGAAGUAUGCUUUUGUAAUAAUACCAAUGCACUGGCAAAGAUGCAAACAAAAACACAGCAGAAAGCAACUUUAAACUAAGGUAAAAAUCUGCAGCAAAAGCAUUUUCUCAGCUGUGCUUUCUCUUUUGACUGGAAUUUCUUCCCCUACACAAUACUCGUAUUUUCUAUAAUCUUGGUUAAAGGCAGUAGCAACAGCAGUGAAGUAUGGCUUAAGAGUCCACUAUAAUCCUGAAAUUAUACUGCAAUGCUAUAAGUCUGCUGAACUGCUUUUAUAUAUAUAUUUAUAUAUAAACUUACAUAUAAGAAUAAAGUAUAUAUAUUUUAUAUAUAUAUUUGUAUAUAAUGAAUAAAAAACUUAGCAUUCUUUCUCUUUCUCCAUUUUCCUUUUCUACUUUUGUUGGAACCAUUAAGGUUUUAAGGUUCUUGCCUGAAUUCUUGCAGCCAAAAAAAAAAAAAAAGAAAGAAAGAAAGAAAAACCUCAAAUUAAUGGAAACUCUGGUCCAUAAAGGAAAGUUCUGAUGCCCUUCUGGCACUGAACUGGAAAGAUCAACAAGAUAGCUAAUUAAAACUUUUGUGCAAGGAUGAAGGCUUUUUGUUAGACUUCUCUUGGCUUCAACUUUACUUUAAGACUUAAAGCAAUUAUUGAUUUAAGUCAUCCUCAAUAGGUUCAUCCAAAAGUAUGAAGUACCUAGGAAGAAUCAUAUUGGAUAAUAUCCUAAAGAAAAAACAAGAUAAGCCAGGCUCAGGAGAGUAUAACUGAGUCUUGCUUUUAAAAAACACAAAUAAAGCAGAGCCCCAAUUUCUGAUUAAAGUCAAGGCUCUCCUAGAAACAAGAUAGGGAACAUUAUACAUGCGGACAAGCAUUCACAGGUGAAUGGUGCAAAGUAGAAGAAAAAACCCAACAAUCCAAAAUGAUGCAUAAAACUGCAGUUGUGAUAUAAAAGUUCAGGUGUAGCCCUCUAGAAUCAAUAGCUAAUACAGGCUGAGAUAUAGAUGCAAAGUUUUAGAUGCUUGCUCUGAGCACAUUCUUACUGUUACUAAAUUUGGGCACAAGCCAACUUUUCCUGUCUCUUUGGGGGCUGGGCUGGGGGGAGAGGAGAACGGAAACAGGGAAGACAAAAGAAUCAUACUAAAUCUUGGAUAAAGAUGUAGACUUGGAUGACAAAGUUAUAAAAAAUAUACUGAUGUGAUGAGAAAGGCUCAGAAACAACCUGAAGGUUUUUGAGAAGAACUGCUUUGAUGCUUAAUCACAUACCUUUGCAUAGCACUUGCAAAGACAGGAAUUCACUGGCUGAAACAUGAUAUCAGGAUGCUAAAGGAACUGAUAUAUUUAAUUGCAACUGUAUCUUUGGAAAGCCUUCUUGACAGGGUCUAGAUUUGUAUGGAUAGCUGGUGCAAAUUAGCAUGGGCUGGCCAACUUACAGAGCACUGGGCACUGAUCGAUCGACAGGAACACCUUCUGCAAAACAACAGCCAAGUGGAUAAACGGAAGAAUAAAGGACAUUUCUCCAAUAAUAAUACAGUAUUUAUAUCUGGUAUUUAGACAUAUGGAUCUAGUCUCAGAUAUCUAAGUCCUGAAAUUUAUGGCACACGACUGUAUCACACGCAAGUAGAGUGCAAGAUGUAGUCUCAGUAACUAGGACCAUAAGGACCAAUGCUUCUGCAAGAUGUAAAAAUCAACUGGUACAAUGUCUGCAUUGCAUUAUGUCAGCCUGUUUUCCUGUUCAAUUUUGUUCUGCUGCCAGCAGGAACAGAUGGAUAAUUAAAGAAAGCUACAUAAAAACAGACCAUUAUAGAACCUGGUCAGAAAGGAAAUACGUAGAUAAGAAUCAUCUCUUCAAACACAAGAACCAGUUUUAUGGUUGUGAAAGGAUUUCUCAGCUCCAAAUUUGGCAUCAGAGCUAUUGUUUUGCACCUGAAAAGAGAUUAAAAGACAGACUGAAGAUCAGCUUGAUCCAGAAAGAAGCUUGAAGAGAUAAGUUGUAAGAGCAGCAUGUCAGUGAAAAAAGCUGACAGACUGAGUGAAAGAAUAUGGCAAAAGACCCAAGCUGUUUAUCCCAAUUUAGACAGAGAAUAACAUAGCUUCAGCUGCACCACAGAUAAAUAGGUUAUUUUUUAGUAUGGGAAUAUGCACAAAGGAUUCUACUUUAUUCAGUACUUCCAUAUGUUUUAUAUUUGAGGAUGAAAGAAUAAAUACUGUAUGGUUUCUGAGUCACCUUAAUCUGAGUUACUGUUAAAGGUGCCCAAAAGAAAAACCUACUCCAGAAAUAUAUUGGACCUAGUUAGAUAACCUUGGAUGGGACAUGGAAACCGGUCUAAUGGUGAGCAAAUCACAAUAAUGCACCAGUAGAGAAGCUGGAAGGUUUGAAACAGGUGGAAGCAUGCUUAAUGAUAUUCUCAGUAAGGGAUACAGCUAAACCAAAAUCAUAACCCGGUGUCUCACAGAAAUAAAACCUGAGGGGGCCUACUGUCAGAGCUAAGAUUUGGGAAUAGGAAGAUCUUAUCAAGAAUUAACCACUAUGUAUAAAUCUGUGAGUACUCCUGGGUAUAGCAUUUGGCUGUCAUCCAUGAAAUACAUAUGAAUGCACUCUGGUCUCUUCCCUGACCAGCACUAUUGUCACAGGAGAAAACAGAGUAUUUUCUGGAUGGCUGGUUGUAUGGUCACAAAGAAAUCUCUGUAUACAGCAAGAAGACUAUUUGGACUGAACAGGAGAAAACAAACAGGAGAGAGGAGGUUAAAAAAUGUGUAGCAAUCCUUUCACUUGUUAUGAAUAUAUCCUAUAGCAAUACAGAACUGUUUCAUUGAACAAUUCUUGAUAAAGUUACUCAAAGCUUCCAUUAAGAUUCAGGACAAUGAACACGUAGACCUGGAGAAGAUCUGCUUUGCUCCAAUUGGAAUAUGAGGGCAGAUAUCUCUAUGGGCAAUGGGAAAGGAGCAGAAGUAGUCCCAAAAGACAUCCUAAAAAAGUCAAAUUUGAAGGAGAAGAAAAGAGCAGCUAUGGCCAAGAUUAAAAGUAAUCAUUUUAAAGUGAUUAAUAACUUGGAGUGCAUUCCCUAGGAACAAAAUAAAAUUUGCCUACUCAGAGAGGGUUUGUUUUUUUUUUUUUAACCAGCAAUAACUUUGUUAAAAACUAUUUCUUCCACGCUUUACCUAGUUUUUGAAUAGUAUGUUCCAGAAGAAAUAGAGCAUAUAUUUUUAUAGGCAUGCUGUCAAAAUGAACUAAUGGGAUAUACUGGAAAAUUCAAAGAAGGAUGUUUAUUUCUAUGCUGGUAUUAUUCAUAUUUUUCUAAGACUUCUGCUUGCUUUGGGAAAAAACCUUCUGUUCAGAAAAAUAAGAGGGAUGGACAGGCUGCUGAUAUUUAAGCCUGAAUUUCUGAGUUGAUACAUUUUCGAAAAGUUGGAAAAAUGUAGAAACUAAGGACCCCUCUUUACUCAACCAGUUGGCUCAAAUUUGAUCUGAUCCCACUGCAAAACAACAUCUGAGCUAAAAAGAGACUGGAUUUACGCAGUUGGACUGUAACUUGAGCUACUGCUCUCCCUUCUGCAGUACAAAAUCUAACCUCAGUAGCAUUCUAAUUUCAAACUAACAGACCCUAAACAGGUUGCAGCAUUAUUUAACUUGGUUUUGAGGCAGAAGAUCUGAUGUAGGGCAAAAGCUCAAACAAUUCAGCUAAAACAAGUCCUCUCUACAUAACAUUUACAUCAUGUAUGUUCCACAACAAAUUGAUUCACUGACUGGAGUGAAAGAAUAUGUUUUGCUUCCCUGGCACUUUGAUUCUUAUCCGCUCAACCCGGACAAUUAGUGACAGCAACAUUGAUGCUUUUACCUGUGAAACUAAAGAGGUGAAUGAAGUGCCCAGCAAAGGACUGCUGGACUCAGCUACGAUGGUGAAAAAGGAUUGCUGCUUUGUGAUUUUUUUUUUAAUCACAUUUGGAUAGAGAGAGAAACCCUAUGACUAAUCAUCCUUCACUUUACCAUGCUUUGUCAUCCAAUUUUGUACGACUUGGAUAUUCUCCUUCAGGUAUAUUGCAACAUACUUCUUAAGAAAAAUAAAGUUUUUACCAGAAUA
Molecule: long non-coding RNA, 6235 nt
Organism: Dromaius novaehollandiae (emu)
Lineage: Eukaryota; Metazoa; Chordata; Aves; Casuariiformes; Dromaiidae
Exons: 2
Source: RefSeq, a predicted model, not a curated record